This 1346-nucleotide ribosomal RNA is filed under the name uncultured bacterium. Its description in RNAcentral is "partial 16S ribosomal RNA". It matches the Rfam family "Bacterial small subunit ribosomal RNA", at positions 28 to 1381 of the family's 1533-position model. The record is from RNAcentral.
GACGAACGCUUGCGGCGUGCUUAACACAUGCAAGUCGAACGGAAAGGCCCUGCUUUUGUGGGGUGCUCGAGUGGCGAACGGGUGAGUAACACGUGAGUAACCUGCCCUUGACUUUGGGAUAACUUCAGGAAACUGGGGCUAAUACUGGAUAGGAGCUCCUGCUGCAUGGUGGGGGUUGGAAAGUUUCGGCGGUUGGGGAUGGACUCGCGGCUUAUCAGCUUGUUGGUGGGGUAGUGGCUUACCAAGGCUUUGACGGGUAGCCGGCCUGAGAGGGUGACCGGCCACAUUGGGACUGAGAUACGGCCCAGACUCCUACGGGAGGCAGCAGUGGGGAAUAUUGCACAAUGGGCGGAAGCCUGAUGCAGCAACGCCGCGUGCGGGAUGACGGCCUUCGGGUUGUAAACCGCUUUCGCCUGUGACGAAGCGUGAGUGACGGUAAUGGGUAAAGAAGCACCGGCUAACUACGUGCCAGCAGCCGCGGUGAUACGUAGGGUGCGAGCGUUGUCCGGAUUUAUUGGGCGUAAAGGGCUCGUAGGUGGUUGAUCGCGUCGGAAGUGUAAUCUUGGGGCUUAACCCUGAGCGUGCUUUCGAUACGGGUUGACUUGAGGAAGGUAGGGGAGAAUGGAAUUCCUGGUGGAGCGGUGGAAUGCGCAGAUAUCAGGAGGAACACCAGUGGCGAAGGCGGUUCUCUGGGCCUUUCCUGACGCUGAGGAGCGAAAGCGUGGGGAGCGAACAGGCUUAGAUACCCUGGUAGUCCACGCUGUAAACGGUGGGUACUAGGUGUGGGGUCCAUUCCACGGGUUCCGUGCCGUAGCUAACGCUUUAAGUACCCCGCCUGGGGAGUACGGCCGCAAGGCUAAAACUCAAAGGAAUUGACGGGGCCCCGCACAAGCGGCGGAGCAUGCGGAUUAAUUCGAUGCAACGCGUAGAACCUUACCUGGGUUUGACAUGGAUCGGGAGUGCUCAGAGAUGGGUGUGCCUCUUUUGGGGUCGGUUCACAGGUGGUGCAUGGCUGUCGUCAGCUCGUGUCGUGAGAUGUUGGGUUAAGUCCCGCAACGAGCGCAACCCUUGUUCACUGUUGCCAGCACGUUAUGGUGGGGACUCAGUGGAGACCGCCGGGGUCAACUCGGAGGAAGGUGGGGAUGACGUCAAGUCAUCAUGCCCCUUAUGUCCAGGGCUUCACGCAUGCUACAAUGGCUGGUACAGAGAGUGGCGAGCCUGUGAGGGUGAGCGAAUCUCGGAAAGCCGGUCUCAGUUCGGAUUGGGGUCUGCAACUCGACCUCAUGAAGUCGGAGUCGCUAGUAAUCGCAGAUCAGCAACGCUGCGGUGAAUACGUUCCCGGGGCU